This 601-nucleotide ribosomal RNA is filed under the name uncultured bacterium. RNAcentral describes it as "bacterial SSU rRNA". The stretch from base 1 to 531 matches the Rfam family "Bacterial small subunit ribosomal RNA", at positions 338 to 873 of the family's 1533-position model. The record is from RNAcentral.
CCUACGGGAGGCAGCAGUAAGGAAUAUUGGUCAAUGGACGCAAGUCUGAACCAGCCAUGCCGCGUGAAGGAUGAAGGCCCUCUGGGUUGUAAACUUCUUUUAUCUGGGACGAAAAAAGGGGAUUCUUCCUCACUUGACGGUACCAGAGGAAUAAGCACCGGCUAACUCCGUGCCAGCAGCCGCGGUAAUACGGAGGGUGCAAGCGUUAUCCGGAUUUACUGGGUUUAAAGGGUGCGUAGGUGGGUCUGUAAGUCAGUGGUGAAAUCUCCGAGCUUAACUUGGAAACUGCCAUUGAUACUAUAGGUCUUGAAUUAUCUGGAGGUAAGCGGAAUAUGUCAUGUAGCGGUGAAAUGCUUAGAUAUGACAUAGAACACCCAUUGCGAAGGCAGCUUACUACGGAUUGAUUGACACUGAGGCACGAAAGCGUGGGGAUCAAACAGGAUUAGAUACCCUGGUAGUCCACGCCCUAAACGAUGGAUACUCGACAUCAGCGAUACACUGUUGGUGUCUGNGNGAAGANAUAUAUCCACCNCGGAGACGACGCGAGUAGUAAGUAAAGAAGUAGACGNGNGAGAGNGCGAGACGACGACGAGGGAGGAGG